RNAcentral lists this ribosomal RNA (372 nucleotides) under uncultured bacterium. RNAcentral's name for it is "bacterial SSU rRNA". It matches the Rfam family "Bacterial small subunit ribosomal RNA", at positions 526 to 896 of the family's 1533-position model. The record is from RNAcentral.
GGASCGGGGCGAGCGUUAUUCGGAAUUAUUGGGCGUAAAGGGCGCGUAGGCGGCUUGGUAAGUCAAAGGUGAAAUCCCUCGGCUCAACUGAGGAACUGCCUUUGAAACUGCCUGGCUUGAGGCCGGGAGGGGGUAGCGGAAUUCCCAGUGUAGCGGUGAAAUGCGUAGAUAUUGGGAGGAACACCAGUGGCGAAGGCGGCUACCUGGACCGGUUCUGACGCUGAUGCGCGAAAGCGUGGGGAGCAAACAGGAUUAGAUACCCUGGUAGUCCACGCUGUAAACGAUGGGUGCUCGGUGUCGCGGGUAUCGACCCCUGCGGUGCCUUAGCUAACGCGUUAAGCACCCCGCCUGGGGAGUACGGUCGCAAGGCUG